AGUGAACGCUGGCGGUAGGCCUAACACAUGCAAGUCGAACGGCAGCACAGUAAGAGCUUGCUCUUACGGGUGGCGAGUGGCGGACGGGUGAGGAAUACAUCGGAAUCUACUUUUUCGUGGGGGAUAACGUAGGGAAACUUACUCUAAUACCGCAUACGACCUACGGGUGAAAGCAGGGGAUCUUCGGACCUUGCGCGAUUGAAUGAGCCGAUGUCGGAUUAGCUAGUUGGCGGGGUAAAGGCCCACCAAGGCGACGAUCCGUAGCUGGUCUGAGAGGAUGAUCAGCCACACUGGAACUGAGACACGGUCCAGACUCCUACGGGAGGCAGCAGUGGGGAAUAUUAGACAAUGGGCGCAAGCCUGAUCCAGCCAUACCGAGUGGGUGAAGAAGGCCUUCGGGUUGUAAAGCCCUUUUGUUGGGAAAGAAAAGCAGCAGGUUAAUACCCCGCUGUUCUGACGGUACCCAAAGAAUAAGCACCGGCUAACUUCGUG
RNAcentral lists this ribosomal RNA (492 nucleotides) under uncultured bacterium. Its description in RNAcentral is "partial 16S ribosomal RNA". It matches the Rfam family "Bacterial small subunit ribosomal RNA", at positions 29 to 507 of the family's 1533-position model. The record is from RNAcentral.